CAGCCGCCGCGGGAAUACGUAGGGUGCAAGCGUUAAUCGGAAUUACUGGGCGUAAAGCGUGCGCAGGCGGUUUGUUAAGACAGAUGUGAAAUCCCCGGGCUCAACCUGGGAACUGCGUUUGUGACUGGCAAGCUAGAGUGUGGCAGAGGGGGGUGGAAUUCCGCGUGUAGCAGUGAAAUGCGUAGAUAUGCGGAGGGACACCGAUGGCGAAGGCAGCCCCCUGGGCCAACACUGACGCUCAUGCACGAAAGCGUGGGGAGCAAACAGGAUUAGAGACCCCAGUAGUCCCUGUCUCUUAUAC
Molecule: ribosomal RNA, 301 nt
Filed under: uncultured bacterium
Lineage: Bacteria
Description: partial 16S ribosomal RNA
Rfam family: Bacterial small subunit ribosomal RNA
Source: RNAcentral